RNAcentral lists this ribosomal RNA (496 nucleotides) under uncultured bacterium. Its description in RNAcentral is "partial 16S ribosomal RNA". It matches the Rfam family "Bacterial small subunit ribosomal RNA", at positions 29 to 507 of the family's 1533-position model. The record is from RNAcentral.
AUGAACGCUGGCGGCGUGCCUAAUACAUGCAAGUCGAGCGAACAGACGAGGAGCUUGCUCCUCUGACGUUAGCGGCGGACGGGUGAGUAACACGUAGAUAACCUACCUAUAAGACUGGGAUAACUUCGGGAAACCGGAGCUAAUACCGGAUAAUAUAUUGAACCGCAUGGUUCAAUAGUGAAAGACGGUUUUGCUGUCACUUAUAGAUGGAUCCGCGCCGCAUUAGCUAGUUGGUAAGGUAACGGCUUACCAAGGCGACGAUGCGUAGCCGACCUGAGAGGGUGAUCGGCCACACUGGAACUGAGACACGGUCCAGACUCCUACGGGAGGCAGCAGUAGGGAAUCUUCCGCAAUGGGCGAAAGCCUGACGGAGCAACGCCGCGUGAGUGAUGAAGGUCUUCGGAUCGUAAAACUCUGUUAUUAGGGAAGAACAAAUGUGUAAGUAACUAUGCACGUCUUGACGGUACCUAAUCAGAAAGCCACGGCUAACUACGUG